This 253-nucleotide ribosomal RNA is filed under the name uncultured bacterium. RNAcentral describes it as "partial 16S ribosomal RNA". It matches the Rfam family "Bacterial small subunit ribosomal RNA", at positions 524 to 776 of the family's 1533-position model. The record is from RNAcentral.
UACGGAGGGUGCAAGCGUUAAUCGGAAUUACUGGGCGUAAAGCGCACGCAGGUGGCUGAGUCAGUCGAUUGUGAAAGCCCUGGGCUUAACCUGGGAAUUGCAGUCGAUACUACUUAGCUAGAGUAUGGGAGAGGGCAGUGGAAUUCCCGGUGUAGCGGUGAAAUGCGUAGAUAUCGGGAGGAACAUCAGUGGCGAAGGCAGGUUACUGGGCAUUAUCUGACGCUGAGGCGCGAAAGCGUGGGGAGCGAACAGG